This 406-nucleotide long non-coding RNA is filed under the name Rattus norvegicus (Norway rat). Its description in RNAcentral is "long non-coding RNA NONRATT027527". Lineage: Eukaryota; Metazoa; Chordata; Mammalia; Rodentia; Muridae. The record is from RNAcentral.
CUGUGUAAGCAAGGGGACCCUGCCUUCGAGUGAUGCUGGGGUGAGGGAGGUCAGAAAACGCCACUAUUGAGUGCAGCAUGGCUGUCCAUGGCUCCCUGCUCUUGGGCCCAGCAUGACUACACAGCAUGUGCCCAGCCAGGACAUCCUGAAGACCAGAGAGCAGCCUGGGGCAUGAAGAUGCCCCAACACUUGUCUUUCACACCUGCUCUUCCUCAGAGCUGUCCCCUGCUCCCUUGCUGGAAAGGCCUACCACAGAGGAGUUAAGCCAGAGGUCCAGGAGCUCCGUGGGCAGAGGCUGGUGUGAGGGUGGAGCCCAAGCUGCUGCGCCAUCUGGUCUGUUUUUAUUUAACUGUAUUUAAUUUGUUUUCAAAAAAAUUAAAAGUCAAAUAUGGUUUUUAACGGUUGU